AUGGUGUCUGACGCAGCUGGUUCGGCCACCCCUCCGGGGCGGCCGAGGCAAGAGGGAACCCGGUGGGAAUCCGGGACUGCCCCGCAGCGGUGAGUGGGAACGACCGCCGUCAUCAGCACUGGACCCCCUGUGGUCUGGGAAGCGACGGCCAGUAGGAGACCGGUUCCGGCCGGUCGCGCCCGCGAGUCCGAAGACCUGCCAGCGCGUCGUACGCCCG
This 217-nucleotide non-coding RNA is filed under the name Micromonospora narathiwatensis. The record is from RNAcentral. Lineage: Bacteria; Bacillati; Actinomycetota; Actinomycetes; Micromonosporales; Micromonosporaceae.